This is a long non-coding RNA of Sander lucioperca (pikeperch), 153 nucleotides long. RefSeq lists it as uncharacterized. The transcript is spliced from 3 exons. The record is from RefSeq and is a predicted model, not a curated record. NCBI's taxonomy places the organism in Eukaryota, Metazoa, Chordata, Actinopteri, Perciformes, Percidae.
UGUUUCCAUUUAUUCCACCCAGAGAAAGCCUGUCAGACCAUUUUCUUUUAAUAUUAUGAAUUUGUUUGGAAAAUGUUAAAACCCACCAAAUGAUGCCAACUGUCCAUAAUAAUGAUUGUUGCCAUUACAAAAGUACCUUUGGGAAUAAAUGUG